Molecule: ribosomal RNA, 1335 nt
Filed under: Acinetobacter baumannii
Lineage: Bacteria; Pseudomonadati; Pseudomonadota; Gammaproteobacteria; Moraxellales; Moraxellaceae
Description: bacterial LSU rRNA
Rfam family: Bacterial large subunit ribosomal RNA
Source: RNAcentral
GUUGUAUAGUCAAGUAAUUAAGUGCAUGUGGUGGAUGCCUUGGCAGUCAGAGGCGAUGAAAGACGUGAUAGCCUGCGAAAAGCUCCGGGGAGGCGGCAAAUAUCCUUUGAUCCGGAGAUGUCUGAAUGGGGGAACCCACCUACUUUAAGGUAGGUAUUGCAACAUGAAUACAUAGUGUUGCAAGGCGAACGAGGGGAAGUGAAACAUCUCAGUACCCUUAGGAAAAGAAAUCAAUUGAGAUUCCCUCAGUAGCGGCGAGCGAACGGGGAUCAGCCCAUUAAGUUAUGUGUGUUUUAGUGGAACGCUCUGGGAAGUGCGAACGUAGAGGGUGAUAUUCCCGUACACGAAAGGGCACACAUAAUGAUGACGAGUAGGGCGAGGCACGUGAAACCUUGUCUGAAUAUGGGGGGACCAUCCUCCAAGGCUAAAUACUCCUGACUGACCGAUAGUGAACCAGUACCGUGAGGGAAAGGCGAAAAGAACCCCUGUGAGGGGAGUGAAAUAGAUCCUGAAACCGCAUGCAUACAAGCAGUGGGAGCACCUUCGUGGUGUGACUGCGUACCUUUUGUAUAAUGGGUCAGCGACUUAUAUUCAGUAGCGAGGUUAACCGUAUAGGGGAGCCGUAGAGAAAUCGAGUCUUAAUAGGGCGUUUAGUUGCUGGGUAUAGACCCGAAACCAGGCGAUCUAUCCAUGAGCAGGUUGAAGGUUGGGUAACACUAACUGGAGGACCGAACCCACUGUCGUUGAAAAGCCAGGGGAUGACUUGUGGAUAGGGGUGAAAGGCUAAUCAAGCCUGGUGAUAGCUGGUUCUCCCCGAAAGCUAUUUAGGUAGCGCCUCGGACGAAUACCAUAGGGGGUAGAGCACUGUUUCGGCUAGGGGGUCAUCCCGACUUACCAAACCGAUGCAAACUCCGAAUACCUAUGAGUACUAUCCGGGAGACAGACUGCGGGUGCUAACGUCCGUAGUCAAGAGGAAAACAAUCCAGACCGCCAGCUAAGGCCCCAAAAUCAUAGUUAAGUGGGAAACGAUGUGGGAAGGCAUAGACAGCUAGGAGGUUGGCUUANNNNNNNNNNNNGAAGCAGCCACCCUUUAAAGAAAGCGUAAUAGCUCACUAGUCGAGUCGGCCUGCGCGGAAGAUGUAACGGGGCUAAAACUAUGUGCCGAAGCUGCGGAUGUAUACUUUGUAUACGUGGUAGGGGAGCGUUCUGUAAGCCGAUGAAGGUGUGUUGAGAAGCAUGCUGGAGGUAUCAGAAGUGCGAAUGCUGACGUGAGUAACGACAAAACGGGUGAAAAACCCGUUCGCCGAAAGACCAAGGGUUCCAGUCCAACGUUAA